Lemur catta (Ring-tailed lemur) is the source of this 3078-nucleotide RNA transcript. It is a transcript of the gene named chondroitin sulfate proteoglycan 5, with no coding region annotated. The transcript is spliced from 6 exons. The record is from RefSeq and is a predicted model, not a curated record. NCBI's taxonomy places the organism in Eukaryota, Metazoa, Chordata, Mammalia, Primates, Lemuridae.
CGGGAGGUGCGGUGGCCCGGCGAGCCGAGGGCGCAGCCAGCCUAGCGGACCGCGGACAGCGGUCAGGGCGCCGUGCCAUGGGCCGAACCGGGGGUGGGGGCCCGGGCCGGGGACCGCCGCCACUGCUGCUGCUUCUGGGGGCCACGCUGGUCCUUACCGCCGGAGCCGUGCCGGCGCGCGAGGCUGGCAGCGCCGCGGAGGCCGAAGAGCUGGUGAAGAGUGGCCUGGCAUGGGAGCCACGUGCCAACGGCACACAGGAGGCCGCCUUGCCAGCAGCUGGAGAAGAUGAGACCUCGUGGACGGCGCCGGGCGGCGAGCUGUCCAUUGUGGGCCCAGAGGAGGCGCUGCAGGCGUCAGCUGCAGUGACCGGCACCACAUGGCUAGAGGCUGACAGCCCAGGCCUGGGUGGAGUGACAGCAGAGGCAGGCAGCGGUGAUGCCCAGGGCCUUCCAGCUACACUCCAGGCUCCCGACGAGGCCCUCGGGCAGUCAUCUAUGCCCCCGGACACCCCUGAGGCUACAGAAGCCAGUGGACCACCCUCCCCGACCCCCGACGACAAGCUGAGCCCAGCUUCUGAACUCCCCAAGGAGAGCCCCUUGGAGGUUUGGCUGAACCUGGGAGGCAGCACACCUGACCCUCAAGGGCCAGAGCCAACUUACCCCUUUCAGGGCACACUGGAUCCCCACCCAGCAUCAGAUAUAAUUGACAUCGACUACUUCGAAGGAUUGGAUGGUGAGGGUCGUGGCGCAGACCUGGGGAGCUUCCCGGGGUCACCAGGAAUCUCAGAGAACCACCCUGAUACUGAGGGAGAGACCCCUUCCUGGAGCCUGCUUGACUUAUAUGAUGACUUCACCCCCUUUGAUGAAUCUGAUUUCUACCCCACCACAUCCUUUUACGAUGACUUGGAGGAAGAGGAGGAAGAGGAGGAUGACAAAGAUGCAGUGGGAGGUGGAGACCUGGAAGAUGAAAAUGACCUUCUAGUGCCCACUCGGAAGCCUGGUCUAGGGCCUGGGACAGGUCAGCCUACCAACCGGUGGCAUGCUGUCCCUCCACAGCAUACUCUGGGGUUGGUUCCUGGAAGCAGCAUCGCCCUCAGGCCCCGCCCAGGAGAGUCAGGCAAGGACCUGGCCUCAAGCGAAAAUGGCACUGAGUGCCGCAGUGGCUUCGUGCGGCAUAACGGCUCCUGCCGGUCAGUGUGCGACCUCUUCCCAAGUUACUGUCACAAUGGUGGGCAGUGUUACCUGGUGGAGAACAUAGGGGCCUUCUGCAGGUGCAACACACAGGACUACAUCUGGCACAAGGGGAUGCGCUGUGAGUCCAUCAUCACCGACUUCCAGGUGAUGUGCGUGGCCGUUGGCUCGGCCGCCCUCGUGCUACUCCUGCUUUUCAUGAUGACGGUGUUCUUCGCCAAGAAGCUCUAUCUGCUCAAGACAGAGAAUACCAAGCUGCGUAGGACCAACAAAUUCCGGACCCCAUCUGAGCUCCACAACGAUAAUUUCUCCCUCUCCACCAUUGCCGAGGGCUCUCACCCAAAUUCAGACUUAGUCACGUUCAAGAUCUUGUGGGCAUUGCCGAUUAAGAUGGUUGCCACUUUGCUGUGAAGCGAAGCCCUGCUGCUCACUCCAGCCGCCACGCUGACUGCUUCCACAUGGUGCCCACAGCAAGAUGAAAGUGAGAAGGCCUCCAGGUGGCCCUGAAGGAAAAGAGGCAGGCAGGCGUUGCCACAGAAGUUCUCUGAAUGUGCAGAGUGUGGAGUUGAGGACCGUGUGUGGUGUGGACGUCCUGAAAACCCUUAACAGGCAAAUCCGGUUCGGGCUUGGGAGCUUGUCAGAGGGCUGCAGGACAUACAGAGGGCUGGGCAGAGGGACACAGGCACACAACAGAGUGCUCAUGAACCAGCAGCAUGAAUAUCAUCUGACGCAGAAUGCGGCAGGCCACCGAGGCAGCCAGAUUCGGGCUGGGAUUGAGAGCAGACCAUUUCAGUUAGCAUCUCUUGGCAGAAACGGUUCUGACGGCAAGAGGCUCACACAUCUUUGGCCUCUAGGCAGAGCACAUAUUUUCGCUGUGGGGAGUGGGGCCCUCACUUUGCCAGGAGCAGCUCUGUAGCUGACCGUAAUCCUGUGCGUGCCCCACUCCACACGCUGACAUGUUUCCAGACCAAGACAGUUUUGUGCAAGCAGAACUCAACAGGGUAGAGGGCCCAGCAGGCCGCACAGAGCACAGCCACACCUGAGACUUUAGAGGCACCUGGGCCAAGUAUUAAAAGGGACAGUGUCUCCCAAUAUCUGUCCAGAAGAAAGCCUUGGACUGGCCCAAAUUAAAGGUAUUUGUGACCUGAUUACCUGUCAAGUUUUCAUCUACACCUGGCCAUUGCUUUUAGGAUGGCUUUCCUAAAAAGUAGUGCUAAUGAGUUGCUCUGGCGAAUUUGGGUUCAUUCAAGUCUUAGAGCUUUUUCCUUUUCUCAGUUAUGCUUCUUUCAGCCAGAUAGAACAAUCGGAAGUUAUUAUUUGAUUGCCCUACACAUUGUCUCCUCCCCCCAACUUUCUUCCUCUUCUAGGAUGAUCCUAGUGCUCCACACAAAAUCCAGGAAGCUCUCAAGUCCUGCCUGAAAGAGGAGGAGUCAUUUAACAUCCAGAACUCCAUGUCGCCCAAACUCGAGGGUGGCAAAGGUGACCAGGCUGACUUGGAGGUGAACUGUCUUCAGAAUAAUUUAACCUAAAGCAGAGCAAGAAGGGGGGACAUGGGGGUGGGGGGGUAGCGGGAAGAAACAUUAUCUCCUCUUGUACAGAGUCUAUUUCUUGUAACCAUUUGUUAAACUUUUUUCUUUUUCUGAUCUCAUGGCAUGCUUUGAUGUAUUUUGUACAGGAGGCAAAAAAAUACUUAAAAUAAGCAAAGAAACUGAACAGGAUUGCAUACCUUGGAUUGUUUUGUCUGUGCUGUCUGUACAUUGCUUCUGCUGCUGUGAUUUCUAAACCCGUGCUGUUACUCAACUGACUUUUUUUUUGUACUUUGACCCACCUUUUUUUUAAAUACCAGUAAAAAAAAAACAAAGUUCUUGAAAUAAAACUUUUUAAAAAG